CAGCGCUGUCGCCGAGGCCGGCGGCCUGGUCGUCUUCAUCGGCCAGCAGAUCGUCCGAGGCGGUCAGCGUCGG
RNAcentral lists this transfer RNA (73 nucleotides) under Halomonas halophila. RNAcentral describes it as "tRNA-Glu". Lineage: Bacteria; Pseudomonadati; Pseudomonadota; Gammaproteobacteria; Oceanospirillales; Halomonadaceae. The record is from RNAcentral.